This is a non-coding RNA of Misgurnus anguillicaudatus (oriental weatherfish), 708 nucleotides long. Lineage: Eukaryota; Metazoa; Chordata; Actinopteri; Cypriniformes; Cobitidae. The record is from the annotation of a RefSeq genome assembly.
AUGACUUUCAUCAUCAUCUUCAUCUGGACACUUUUUAUCCAAGGUGUCAGUGGACAGAUAACUGUGACUCAAACUCCCGCUGUUAAAACUGUUCAGACUGGUGAAUCUGUCACUAUAAACUGCAAAACAAAUACACAAGUGAGCAACUAUUGUACUGGUUCAUAUACUUGUAUGGCCUGGUACCUGCAGAAACCUGGAGAAGCUCCUAAACUCUUGAUUCAUUCUGCAAGUCAAAGACUCUCAAACACUCCAUCAAGAUUCAGUGGCAGCGGAUCAAGAACAGAUUUCACUUUGACCAUCAGUGGAGUUCAGACUGAAGAUUCAGGAGAUUAUUACUGUCAGAGUGCUCACAGUGGUCCAGUGUUGACACAGUGAUAAAGAGUGAUACAAAAACCUCUUUCAGUCAGACUCACAGUGACUGCACUUAUACACCUGACAGAUGCUGCAGAUGAUCAUACAACACAAUAACACACAACACUGAUCACACAAAUAACACAACAUCAUCUUAUGAUCAACAGAAAUCAUGCUAAGGUUUAUACAGGUAUGUAUUUUUGAUAAGAUAAACACAGAUUAUUUUAACAUCUAUCUGUUCAUACUGCUUUUUCAUCAAACCAUAUGCAGACUCCUCAACUACAAAUGAGAAUAAAAGAGAGGAACAUUUUUCACAAAAUCUGUUUAUUCCAGAAAACCUUUAUACUUUGUUAUGAA